AAGGCCGACGCGCCUUCCGUGCGCCGCUCGCCCCGCACCUUGGGCCGCUCCUGCCGCUGCCACUGGAUUUCCUUCUCGCCCUGGCAGCGCAGGUCAAAGGGCGCGUUGAGCGGAACCACCAGAAACCCAAACGUUGUGCGCUAACUCAGAUUUUUGGAGCUGCUCAUAAAACCCUCCAGCAUUGGCAAACGCCUCAGGUCCAGAUGAAGACCAUCAGAGCAGGAUGCUGCCCCCACCAUGCUCCAUUCUAGGUUGGGAGCGACUGAGUCCAUAGGCGGUGCCCUCCACAACCUUCCCGAAGGCUCCAGAACCCAGGAUGCGACCUGGGGGGCAAAUUUACAUGAUAACAACCAAGACAAUGAGUGAGAUGAUGACAAUGACCAGCAGCACCAGCACAGCGGCAGCUACGGUCAGCUCCCGAUGAGGGCCUGUUCGGGAGGACAGUCGGCGGUAAGAUGCGUUUCCGGAUGGCACUUAUGACUUAUUUGAUGAGAUGCUACGCGAGAGGCACUUAAUUAACUCAUUCACUCCCAAAGACGUUUUUAAACGUCUUUUCAGUCUUGGUCUAGAAUUGACUGGUACUGAAUGAGUUAAAUGCAGUUUGCAUUACUGAAGGCCAGAGGGGAUUCUGGGAGCAAAGAGGUGGGUGGGAAAAGUUUGCAGAUUACGGGUGAUGAUAGGUUGUAAAGCUCCGGAAGGACCAAAUAGUUGAAGGACUGCAUUAGCUGUCAAAACAGAGC
Molecule: long non-coding RNA, 740 nt
Organism: Hippocampus zosterae (dwarf seahorse)
Lineage: Eukaryota; Metazoa; Chordata; Actinopteri; Syngnathiformes; Syngnathidae
Exons: 4
Source: RefSeq, a predicted model, not a curated record